UAAUUAAAUUUGGUUAGUGAGAAAAAUCAGCUUUAAAUUCUUUAUAAAUUUUACUAGAAUUUCAUAAAAUUAGAAGAUAAAAUUUAUUUAAUAAUUAAAAAUAUUGAGAUUUAAGCUUUCUCUAGAAAUUUGUGCCAGCAUC
This 142-nucleotide ribosomal RNA is filed under the name Haemaphysalis humerosa. Its description in RNAcentral is "partial 12S ribosomal RNA". The record is from RNAcentral. Lineage: Eukaryota; Metazoa; Arthropoda; Arachnida; Ixodida; Ixodidae.